This 211-nucleotide ribosomal RNA is filed under the name uncultured bacterium. RNAcentral describes it as "partial 16S ribosomal RNA". It matches the Rfam family "Bacterial small subunit ribosomal RNA", at positions 524 to 734 of the family's 1533-position model. The record is from RNAcentral.
UACGUAGGUGGCAAGCGUUGUCCGGAUUUAUUGGGCUUAAAGGGAGCGUAGGUGGUUGCUUAAGUCUGUGGUGAAAGCCGACGGCUUAACGGUUGAGGGUCAAUGGAAACUGGGAAACUUGAGUACAGAAGAGGAAGGUGGAACUCCAUGUGUAGCGGUGGAAUGCUUAGAUAUAUGGAAGAACACCAGUGGCGAAGGCGACAUUCUGGUC